RNAcentral lists this non-coding RNA (32 nucleotides) under Mus musculus (house mouse). Lineage: Eukaryota; Metazoa; Chordata; Mammalia; Rodentia; Muridae. The record is from RNAcentral.
UGAAUGGGGAUGAGGCUUACACAAACCUCACA